Non-coding RNA from Paramormyrops kingsleyae, 627 nucleotides. The record is from RefSeq and is a predicted model, not a curated record. NCBI's taxonomy places the organism in Eukaryota, Metazoa, Chordata, Actinopteri, Osteoglossiformes, Mormyridae.
CAUGAGGGAAACUGUUUCCGGCUGAAUCAGUAGGAUUCGCGCCAGCAGAGAGAGUGGUUGGGAUGGGACGUGUGUGGAAACGCUGUGAAACUGAUCACCUCAUGACUGUUUUAACAGAAUUAAAUAAACCACCUGAGGCGCGAGAUGGAGUCGAAUCUUUUAAUUUUCAAACACAACGCAGAUACAAGCCGUUACACUGGGGUACCUCUGGCAGCUCUGACAGUGGACCAUAGGGUAGUCUGCUGUCCAUGGCUACCUGCCGCAUCAUCACCUCAGCCACCCCACUCUGAGGCGGCACAGGUCUUCCGUGAGGUGCGGGUCCUUUGAUGGGGAAAUACCCAUCAAAAUGUCCCCCGUGUGAGCAGCGUGGUCCUCCUGGACCUCGGGCUGUUGCAGCCAAUUAAUUACCACGUUAGGCAGACCGAGGUAUUCACUGAGUAAAAAAAUCAGUGUGGCGGUAGACAGUGGAGUUUAAUGGUUUUAUGCCGUAGCUAUUUUGAUUCUUGAUAUAGGCAAUUUAUUUUUGUCUUUAUUCUGAGACCUCCAAUAAUUCAAUGCAAUAAUUUAAAUGUCUUACUGAAUUGUAUAUAUGCAAACAGGGAAGGAAACCCUGCAUUUGCAUUUUGU